GCCCCCUUGGUCCAGCGGACACGACACCGGCCUACGAAGCCGGGGACCCAGGUUCGACUCCUGGAGGGGGCA
RNAcentral lists this transfer RNA (72 nucleotides) under Marmoricola sp. OAE513. RNAcentral's name for it is "tRNA-Arg". It matches the Rfam family "tRNA". From Rfam's summary of the family: Transfer RNA (tRNA) molecules are approximately 80 nucleotides in length. Their secondary structure includes four short double-helical elements and three loops (D, anti-codon, and T loops). Lineage: Bacteria; Bacillati; Actinomycetota; Actinomycetes; Propionibacteriales; Nocardioidaceae. The record is from RNAcentral.